GAUGGAGAAUUAGUGAAUCGUCAUUCACUUACCUUCAAUUUAUUUGCAUGUUAGAUUACGGCAUCCCUUUUCUAGUAUGUAAAUGUUAUUGUUGGAUCCUAGCCCUAAUUUUCUUAUUGGGUGAUAAUUAGGGAUUCUUAUUCUAAUCUAUCUUUGUCCUUUUCUAAUUGUAGAUGUCGAACGCAAACAACGCUGCUGCUAGUUCUUUCACGUUGAUGAGCCUUUGCCAAAAGGUCACCUUCGAUGGAACGAACUUUAGCGAAUGGAUAAGAUACAUUCGCACCAUUGCUCGCUAUGAGGAUAAGGAGUAUGUCCUCGAUGAGAAGCUCGAGAAAAUCAACCCCGAAAUUGCUACUCCCGCCGAAAUCACCGCCUUUGAAACUCAUGAGCGAGAUGCAACGAAGGUACAUUGCAUCAUGAUCGCCACCAUGAACUCCGAAUUCCAAAAGUCCUACGAGGACAUGUACCCGUACGAGAUGCAUCAAGACUUAUUGGAGAGGUACCACCAAAACGCGAGACAAGAGAGGUACGAGAUUUUCACUAACAUGAUUUCCGCGAAGAUGGGUCAUGGAGAAUCUCUUACCGUGCACUUGCAAAAGAUGCAAAGGUAUGUUGACCGCCUUCGCAAGUUAAAUGUUGACUUCGGUGAAGACUUGGCGAUCGACAUGGUGCUUCACUCUUUGCCUCCGAUGUACAACCAAUUUAGGAUGACCUACCACAUGAACAAAGAAGAGGUCACCCUAAGCAAGCUCCAAGGUCUCUUGAGGGUUGCUGAGAGCAACUUCAAAGACAAGUCUGUUGCACCUACUCCCAAUCCGCCCGCUGCUCCUGUCUUGGCUAUUGGACAAGGGAAGGGAAAGAAGAGGAAAGCUUCAUCGAAGAACUAUCGCAAGGUGAAAGCCCGAGAUGGUGCCUCUUCUAGUGGGACCAAAGUUGAUCCCGCCAAGCCCUGCUCUAACCCGAAGGAGGCAGAGUGCCACCACUGCCACAAGAUAGGACAUUGGAAGAGAAGCUGCCCGGAUUACCUGCAAGCAAUCAAAGAAGGAAAGAUCAAGCCAUCUUUCGCAGGUAUAUAUACAAUCAAAUCUAACGAUUCUAAUCAUGCUAUUUCUUGGGUUCUUGAUACCGGUUGUGGUUAUCACAUUUGUUCUAAUGUGCAGGGACUAAGAAGAAGUAGGGAUGUGGAGCAAGGAAGGAUCAAUCUAAUCAUGGGGAACAGAAGAUCGUCGCCUGUGACCAAGAUUGGAGUGUAUUCCUUAGUGCUUAGGAAUAGUUUAGUUUUAGAUUUGAACAAUUGUUGCUAUUCGCCAGAAAUGGCAAGAAACAUCAUUUCAUUUCAUGGUUUAUAUAGACAAGGAUUUAGAUUUUCUUUUAAUAAUGAGAAUGGUUCUAUUUUGGCUUAUCUAAAUGGUGUCUUUUACUUUGAAGCUAUACCAUGUAAUGGAAUAUAUGAAACCGUUAUGAUUGUUGAUAACUUAGGAAAUGAUGUUUUGAAUAUUGAUUCUUCCACUAGUAUGGAUAAAGCAUCCUUGUGGCAUUGUCGUCUUGGACAUGUCAACAAGAAACGCAUAGCCCAACUCCAAAAGGAUGGAGUGUUGGAGUCAUUCGACCUUAGGGAAGAUGACACAUGCGAGUCUUGUUUGCUUGGAAAGAUGACUAAGUCACCCUUCACGAGUACAUGUGAAAGGGGCGAGGGUCUAUUGGACCUAAUACAUACCGAUGUAUGUGGACCGUUUAGAUCAACCACGAAGGAUGGGAACCGCUUCUAUGUGACUUUUACCGAUGACUAUAGUAGAUAUGGGUAUAUCUACUUAAUCAAGCAAAAGUCAGACACCUUUGAAAAGUUCAAAGAGUUCAAGAAUGAAGUGGAGAAUCAAUUGGGCAGGAAAAUCAAGAUGCUUCGAUCCGAUCGAGGAGGAGAGUACCUAAGUCUUGAAUUCCACGAUUAUCUCAAGGAGUGUGGAAUAGUUUCGCAAUUGACGCCUCCUAGGACACCGCAGUUGAAUGGUGUGGCAGAAAGGCGUAAUCGAACCUUAUUGGAUAUGGUUCGCUCUAUGAUGAGUCGUGCUUCACUACCUAUCUCUUUUUGGGGGUAUGCCUUAGAGACUGCCGCCCAUAUCCUUAACCGAGUCCCUACUAAGAAGGUUGCCAAAACACCUCACGAGAUGUGGACAGGGAAAGCUCCCUCGUUGGCACAUAUCAAGGUUUGGGGUUGCGAGGCUUUCGUAAGACGAGAUACUCACGACAAGCUUGAACCUCGAAGUGAGCGAUGUAUUUUCAUCGGCUACCCGCAGACAUCCUUUGGAUAUCUCUUCUAUAGACCGAAGGACAAUGUUGUCUUCGUUGCGAGGAGAGGAGUUUUCCGAGAGCGAGAACUCAUAAGCCAAGGAGACAGUGGGAGGCAAAUCGAGCUUGAAGAGAUUCAAGAGUCGAUAGAUGAAGGAACCUCUACCGCUGGCACUCAACCCGAGGAGGAAACUCCGGUUGAACCGAUUGACGAAUCCUUACCUCUUAGACGUUCCGAUAGAGUUAGAGUUCAACCCCAGUUUUAUGGUUUUCAUAUUACUACCGAAGGGGACACGUAUAUUAGUGAUGGUACACUAAUAAAUCUUGAUGAACCUAAUAGCUAUAAGGAAGCCAUGGCAGGCCCGGAGUCUGCAAAAUGGAAAGAGGCAAUGGAUAGCGAGAUCCAAUCCAUGUAUGAUAACCAAGUUUGGAAUUUGGUUGAUUAUGUGCCCGGACGUAAGACCGUUGGGUGCAAAUGGAUCUUCAAGAAGAAGACCGACGUGGAUGGAAACGUACACACAUAUAAAGCGCGAUUGGUUGCGAAGGGCUUUACUCAAACUCCCGGAGUUGACUAUGAUGAGACCUUCUCACCAGUUGCGAAGAUUAAAUCUAUUAGAGUGAUGCUAGCAAUUGCCGCAUUUCAUGAUUAUGAGAUUUGGCAAAUGGAUGUCAAGACCGCUUUCCUUAACGGAAAGUUGGCUGAGGAUGUUUACAUGGCUCAGCCAGAGGGGUUUGUGGAUCCGAAGCAUCCGAAUAGAGUGUGUAAGCUUGAGAAGUCCAUUUAUGGACUUAAGCAAGCGUCUCGCAGAUGGAAUCUUUGCUUCGAUGAGAAAGUCAAAGAGUUUGGAUUUGUACGAAGCGAAGACGAAUCUUGUGUAUAUGUCAAAGCCAGUGGGAGUAUAGUAAGCUUCCUCGUUCUAUAUGUCGAUGACAUAUUACUCAUAGGAAACGACAUCCCGACUCUGCAGGAGGUAAAGUCCUGGCUCGGGAAGUGUUUCGCUAUGAAGGACCUCGGAGAGGCUUCUUACAUUUUGGGAAUAAGGAUAGUAAGAGAAAGAAGUAAGAGACUAAUUGGACUUAGUCAGAAUACUUACUUAGAGAAGGUACUAAAACGUUUUAGUAUGGAAAACUCAAAGAAGGGAGAACUACCGAUACAAAGUAAUGCCAAAUUGAGUAAGACUCAAAGUCCGAGUACCGAAGCUGAGAUAGCAGAAAUGAGCCGAGUACCAUACGCUUCCGCAGUUGGCUCAAUCAUGUACGCUAUGACUUGUACUCGCCCUGAUGUAGCCUUCGCUUUGAGCAUGGUUAGCAGAUAUCAAGGGAAUCCUGGCAAAGCACAUUGGAUUGCGGUGAAGAAUAUCCUUAAGUACCUUCGGAGGACGAAGGAAUGGUUCUUAGUCCUCGGAGGGAGUGAUGACUUGAAGGUGCGAGGGUAUAGUGACGCCAGUUUUCAGACCGACAGGGACAACUACCGUUCGCAGUCGGGCUGGGUCUUUACCCUAAAUGGAGGAGCAGUGACAUGGAAGAGUUCCAAGCAGGAAACCGUAGCUGAUUCAACGUGCGAAUCAGAGUACAUUGCAGCGAGCGAAGCGUCGAAGGAGGCAAUAUGGCUAAAGAACUUCAUCGGUGAUCUUGGAGUCGUACCUGCCAUAAAGGAGCCAAUGGAGAUUUUCUGUGAUAACGAAGGUGCGGUUGCCUUAACCAAGGAACCGAGGGAUCAUGGUAGAUCAAGACAUAUCGACAGAAAGUAUCACUUCAUUAGACAUCGUGUAGAAGAAGGACAACUCGUAGUGAAGAGGAUAUCAUCAGAAGAUAACCCAGCAGAUCCGCUUACGAAGGGACUGAGUAGGGUUAAGCACUUGCAGCAUGCUAGGAGUAUUGGGCUGAAGGAUGAUAUUAGCAUAGAUUAGAUAGUAUUAGAAACGUGUAAUAGAUAAAUGUAAUUGACAUUUGAUGAUUAAAUAAAGGAGUUUUAUUUAUGAGUAAUGUUACUAUCUUAUGUUAAUUGUUUAGCUAUUGUUUCACUUUGCAUGUUUUGACUUCCAGAAUAAUUGAGGUUAUUAGGAAUAAUCGAAUUAUUCAAAUGGUCCACAAUCGUUCAUAUGUUGGAAGUAGAUAUGAAAGAAGAUUGUCAUGAAUUGGUGUGUAGAAUGUCUAAAUGGUGUUAGACAUAGCAAAGGAUUGCUGCAACGUUCAUGAGUGCUUAUGAACUAGUUUUGAGCAUUGGAAUAAACCCGCGCUUGCUGGAAUCACCUUAUGGAAUACGAUAUAAAAGGUGAUCGCAAGACGAUAAUAUCAUAUAGUCUUAAAACCUAGAUAUAUGGUUUAUUAUUUGUUAAUUGAUUGUACAUUGAUAAUACGAAAACGCAUCAGUAACUUGGUGUUAUAAAACGUAUUGUUGUGUAUAGUUGGUUAAUGAAUAAGUAAAUGCAUAUAAGUCGAAGUUUAUCUGUAACUUUUAUCUAAGAAGGUAAAAGCGAUAUCUCGGCCGCUCGAUGAUUUGAUUUGACUUAUGUGCCGGGCCCGGUCAGAACUGAAUUGAUGUGUUCGAUUAAGUUCUAUGUCAAAUAAAUCAGAGAUCGAGAAACCUAAAUGCUUGACUAACCAUUCCAUAGGAUUGUCAGCAUGAUAUCUAACAGAGGACUGUACGUUCCCUUAUCUAAAGGACAAGAUUGAUUAGAUCAGAGUUGACAGCGUCUUUGAGAGCUACGAUUGCAAACCGAAUUGUACUUGUAUAGUUACUAGACUUAUCCAAGUGGGAGACUGUUGGAAUAGUGUCUAAGGCUGUAACUAUAUCCGGUUGUGCAUGGUCCUUUUGGGUUGCCUUCACCAUAGCAACUUGAUAGGAUGAUUUAUUAAGAGAGAAUAAAUAUUAUUAAUAUAUUAUGGGAAUAAUAUAAUGAAUAAUAUAUUUGUUAUUUGAUUAAUAUAAGUCAUAGAAUUAAUUAGAAUUAAUUUGGUGACUUAAAGAGAUUAAUUAAAUAAAGGGGUAUAAACUGUCAAUUGUUUGAUAGUUAAGCUUUAAACUGUAAAUCCAUUUGGAUAUACUAUGGACGAAUUCUAAGAGGAUUAGGAUAGCUAAAAUCGUCCAUCAGAGUUAUCUAGGAAUGGAUUUGGAUAGCCUUAAGAGAAGAUUAUCUGAUAGGGACUUAUCUGUAAUCAUUAAGGAAUCUACAAGUAUAAAUAGACCCCAUGGGAUAGGGAAUUCGAUACUUCUGAAAAAGCAAGAGAACUCUGGUCGAAUUCCUCCCCUCUCCUCUCUCCCAAAUCAUCCUCCUUGCUUUGGUGUUUGUAAGCCAUUAGAGGAGUGACAUUUGUGACUCUAGAAGCUCCAAGACCUCAAGAUCAACAAGGAACUCAAAGGUAUGAUUCUAGAUCUGUUUCAAUGUUCUUAUUUAACCUAAUUAGUAAUUAGAAGUCUUGGAUUCAAAGCAUGUUUAUUAGAAAGCCUAGAUCCAAGCAUUAGGGUUUUGCAUGCGCACAUAGGAAAGUUCUUAUGGCUAAAACCCAUCAAAAUUGGCACUUCAUCUCAAGUAGAGAACCCCUGGCCGAAUUGCCUCCCCUCUCCUAUCUCCCAAAUCAUCCUCCUUGCUAUUUGGUGUUUGUAAGCCAUUAGAGGAGUGACAAUUGUGACUCUAGAGCUCCAAGACAACAAGAUCAAACAAGAGAUUCAAAGGUAUGAUUCUAGAUCUGAUUUAGUAUUGUUCUUAUACCUAAUUAGUCAUUAGAAGUCUUGGAUUCAAAGCAUGUUUAAUUAGAAAGCCUAGAUCCAAGCAUUAGGGUUUUGCAUGCGCACAUAGGAAAGUUCUUAUGGCUAAAACCCAUCAGUGGUAUCAGAGACUAGAUUGGUUUCUAUUGAAUUGAUGCAUUGGUUGCUUGUUUGAUGCCUUUAAAAUUCCAAUUUUGUGUUUCUGUCUGAUGGACUCGGUGAGUCCCAUAGUGGACUCGGCGAGUCCAUUGGGGUACUCGGCGAGUCCAAGCGUCAGAAAGAGCUAAUUUCGGGAUUUCUUGUUGUUUAUCUUUGAUAUACUUCCCUUAAUCAUAGUAGAUCAAUAUAAAUCCGAUUUUAUGAUAUAUAUGAGUAUAUUCUUUAUCUAAUUGAAGAUAUUUAUCAAUUAAUAAAAUAUUUUUUUCCUUAUCUUUGAGAUACUUGCUUUAAAUUGUCGCUUGUUUGUUUGAAACUUAACUGCAAAAUUCGAUUUUUGUGUUUCUGAGUCAUGGACUCGGCGAGUUGGCCUGACUCGGCGAGUCCCUUGGUGCACUCGGCGAGUCCAAGCGUCAGGAAUGGCCAGAUUCGGGAUUUCUUCAUGAUUAUCUUAUGGAAACUUACCUUAAUCAUAUUAGAUCAACCCUAAUCCGAUUUUUUGAUAUAUAUGACUAUAAUCUUGAUCUAAUUAAAGAUAUUUAUCAACUAAUAAAAUAUUUAAUUUCCUUAUAUGAUAAUUAAUUAAUUAUUUUGAUUAAUUUGGUAAUUAUCUUGCAAGAAAUCUUGAAUAAAUCAAAUAUAGAUAAUUAGGAAAUUAAUUGUUAAUUAAAAUUAUUUGUUAUUUGAUCCUCCAUGUUUUAAAUGGUUAAAACUUGUCCUCAUGUUUUGAAAUUUAUAUUUUGUGAUGAAAAGUUUUAAUUUAGACAAUUUAAAUUUCAAACCCUAGAUUUUUAAAAGGUUUCAAAUACAACCCUAUACUAAUAUUAUAUUUCAAGAAUAAUAUAUAUAUGUAUAACUAAAAUGCUUUUCUUACCGUUAGUAGGCCUCAUUCACGAAGUCGAUCUAUAAGGCGGGUAUAAGGUUGCAGCCUACAAAAUGGGGCUUAAUGGGUGUACACUCACACCCAACGCUUGCUUGAUCGGUGGAGGGUCAUUAGCCGAACGGGUAGGAUAGGGCAACCUCAUCCUCUCAUUAAAAGUAUAAUAAGUAAUACAAAGUAACUACACAUUUUUAUAAUAAAUUCCCAAUCUUAGUUACUUUACGAAAGUGAAUUAAUGCAAUCGCAUGAAAUUACACUUUGCACCCUUGCUAAGAAGUUAGUGGAGCGUGUGUGGUUUACCGGCACACUAAUUGGUUCUAAGCAAAGGUGGCAAAGGGUGAUUCAUUGUUUAUCAUAGUUCGAUGGAGCGUGUGUGGUUUACCGGCACAUCGAAUAGGUGAUCGUUACAAUGAAGGCACCAUGUGAAUUUGCAUGGUAAUUCACACCCGCUUUGUGAUCCUCGGUAUCCCAGUCACAAACAAGAGGGGCAUAUCGAGAUUUAAACAUGCCAUUGAAUAGUUUCAAUGAAUCUCAUCCGAACCUAGGAAUUCUCAAUACAUUUAGGACUUAUAGUUUGGUUUUUAUGGUGGAGAAUUAGUGAAUCGUCAUUCACUUACCUUCAAUUUAUUUGCAUGUUAGAUUACGGCAUCCCUUUUCUAAUAUGUAAAUAUUGUUGUUGGAUCCUAGCCCUAAUUUUUCUUAUUGGGUGAUAAUUAGGGAUUCAUAUUCUAAUCUAUCUUUGUCCUUUCUAUUUGUAGAUGUCGAACGCAAACAACGUUGCUGCUAGUUCUUUCACAUUGAUGAGCCUUUGCCAAAAGGUCACUUUCGAUGGAACGAACUUUAGUGAAUGGAUAAGAUACAUUCGCACCAUUGCUCGCUAUGAGGAUAAGGAGUAUGUCCUCGACGAGCAGCUCGAGAAAAUCAACUCUGAAAUCGCUACUCCGGGUGAAACGACCGCUUUUGAAAGUCAUGAGCACGAUGCAACGAAGGUACAUUGCAUCAUGAUAGCCACCAUGAACUCCGAAUUCCAAAAGUCCUAUGAGGACAUGUACCCGUACGAGAUGCAUCAAGACUUAUUGGAGAGAUACCACCAAAACGCGAGACAAGAGCGUUAUGAGAUUUUC
RNAcentral lists this long non-coding RNA (8155 nucleotides) under Lactuca sativa (garden lettuce). Its description in RNAcentral is "long non-coding RNA (LSAT_LNC000931)". Lineage: Eukaryota; Viridiplantae; Streptophyta; Magnoliopsida; Asterales; Asteraceae. The record is from RNAcentral.